Molecule: long non-coding RNA, 299 nt
Organism: Telopea speciosissima
Lineage: Eukaryota; Viridiplantae; Streptophyta; Magnoliopsida; Proteales; Proteaceae
Exons: 3
Source: RefSeq, a predicted model, not a curated record
ACCAUUACACUGAACAAUGGCCCUAAAACAGUCCAUCAUUCCACUAAUCAUUACAUAACAUUAGAUCCCCUUAUAAAGUGCCCUUAUGGCACCAUGUCCUCUAUAACCAAAUAGCUGCAGAGACUCGUAUUUUAGUACCAGUUAUUAUGGAUCGAAAAGUCCGACUCUCGUCUACAUUUACCAAAACCCUUUCUCGUCUCCUCCUUUCUCUGCAACUUUUCCUCUCUCGCAACACACACUCUCUCUCUCUCUCUUGCCCGCGCGCGCUUUUCAGCUGCACUUUAUACUCGCGGAUUCCA